CCUUGUUUCUUUGUGGUUGUUUCUUUUACCCAAAUUAAUUGGGGUUUUUUGAAAUACUUUCCAUGGUAAAAUUUAUAAAUUUAUUGUCGUUUGAAUAAAUUCCUAAAAUUCAUGUUAUUUUAUUUUCAUAAUUGAAUUGAUUCUUCUAUGUUGAUUUUCCCAAUUUGUUUGAUUCUUUUAUAAUUUCUUGUUGGGUGUUAAUACGAAAGUCUGUAAUUAUCAUUUUUUUUUUGAAUUCAAUACCCUGUUUAUAUCAAUUGAAUUAUGCGAUUUAAAAGAUUUACUUAUGUUAGUACUAGAAUUAAUACCUGAUUAUAAGUAGUGUUGUCAUGAUAUACUUGUGAAGAGGUUUAUUGUUCAUUUAGGUUGGUUUUGGGCUCUCUAAGCAGCUUUUGUGUCUUAACGUACAUUAGUAUUUAAAUUAAAUAACCCUAUAUGGUUGUACUAUUAUCGCAAAAUCUAACAAUGUUUGAAUAAGAAGGUCCAGUAUUGGAGUUUGGGGGGAUGUUGAUCAAUAAUUUGUUAUCUAAUUAGUGAGCUUUACAUGGAGAAACACGUUGAUACUAGUUUUGUUUUAUACCUUCUAUUGGAUAUUUGUAAUAGCAGCUCCAAAGUUGUAAAAACCUAAAAUAAUAGAGCUACCAACCUGUUUAGUAACAACCUAGAAGGUUCAGGUAGAGCCUAAGGAGAUUUCAUAACUAAAUGCAGUGCUCUUUUUCAUUUUCUGAAUGGAAGAGGAUAAGCUAGUUGAUAGAGUAUGACCAGGGGAGAGUGAGUGCGUAGUAGAUGAUUUAUACUAAGUGUUAUGUGUUUUAUUUUACCUUCAUUGAGCUAAUCACUUUCUUUGGAAUACAUAUCUUGAUGUCUAUAUGGGCUUUAAUACAAUGAGAGGGAGGGGUGUAAAGCUAAGCAUUGCUUUCCGAAUAGGUUCAUGUUUUCAGGUUGGUGAGUGAGUGUGUGUGGUAUGUGUACAAGACUGGCAGAGCUAUGCCGAUGUGUGUACAAACUACUAUGACGGCAAGAAACUUAAUGGGUGUGUAUGUGUGAGGCUUGCAGGGGCAGCAGAAACAACCAUCAGUUGUUCGACUGACCAUGUGUGCACGGGAAGAGGUAGCAUUGUACAAAAUUAUGCGGGUCUAUAAGGGUGUGAGUGAAAGACUGAUAUAGGUUGUGCGGGUCUAUAGAGGCUUGCAGUCGGAUCUCUUGCCGCAUCCGUAAAGAUUAAUAUGUCAAAGUUGGUGAUCGAGUGAGCGUGUGUGCUAUGUGUACAAAAUUGCAUCAUGAUUGUGCAAGAUUGUUUGUGGGAACUUGACAUCCUAGCAAACAAAAAUCUCUGGUUAAUAUUUCAUGAUGACUGAAAAUGAGAGGUGAGCUAAAAAUUAUGAUAAACUACGAAGUGAAGCCGUCUUAAUGAGGUAUUUUUUUUAAGACUUGUACUUUUCAUUUUUAUUAGAGGUUGUUGAACUAUUUUUAGCUUCCAGAAUUUAGAUUUUAUUGAACUGUAUGUUAGUUGAAUUAUUGUAUUGUUGGCUUCAAGUGAUAUGGAGUUUGAUUUUCAAUUUCGAUCAAACUAUUUGUAACAAAAAAAUUUUUUGUGUCAAGCCAAUUUGUUCAUCAUUAGUGCAGACUGCAGACGUGGCUUGAGAUUUGUUACUAGCAGAGGAAUAUCUCUGUUUUCUAAUGUUUUUUUUAUAUAGUUCAGAAGAUUCUCUUAGGGUGUUGCAGGCCUGCUUAACAAUGGUUUUUUGUGCUUGGCUUGGGAUAAAUUUUGGUGGUAUUCUUUGUUCAACUUCGUAACUAGGGCUUAAAGUAGGUUUGAGUGCCCGUUCUUCUCAAAGCCAAAAAUAGUUCGGACCACAACAAGAGUUUGCGUACCAGAUCGAUUAUCAGCUGCAUGACCUCACUCGUAAGUGGGGCUUUAAGUAAAAUAUGAGGGUAUGUUGCAUUUGUUGUUCAUGCUGUGUUGGUUGUGGGGUUGUAUCUUUUUUUCAUCAUGAACUGAUCAUCAAGAAGGAAGUUCGCUGAAGAGUAUCUCUGACUUCAGAGUAAUGGAAGACCACUGCGGUUUUGUUUUUUGACUAGUUUGGUUGCUUUUUUAGUUCAAUUUUUCUGUUUUUUUUUUUUGAGUUCGAUUUUUCAUUUUUUACUACAGUGCUGAUGCAGUGUUACAUCAGCUAGUCUGGGGGUUCAAAGCUGAGGUGGGCUUGUUCUGGUCAACAAUAGGGAGGUUUGUUUGGUGCUAGUUAUGGCAGCUUCUAGUUUAGCUGAAACUUGUCUUAAUCUCAGGUGCAACCGUACCAGAAGAAAAAGGGUCUUUAAAAACAAGGUGACAUUUUACAUUUAUCUUUGGUUGAUGUGUUCUGAAUCGAUUGUACUCACAAGAAAGGGACAAAGCUCCCUCCGAGAUGCCUGAUGACACAAAAGUAGGUAGUACAACAGGUUUUAAAUCAAAAUCUCGAGAUCGGGUUGUAGUUUUUGGAGGAGGAAUAAAACUUAAAGAUGUAAAGGGACUACAACCUAGUAGAGUAGAACUUCAAACUAAAUUGAAUGCUGCCAACCAAUAAAGUUCUUGCAAAUCGCCUGGAGGAAGUACAAGCUGAGAACAAUGAAAUGAAGGAACGUGUUAGCUUGGUUGAGUCUAAAAUGAAAAUGUUUCAAGAUGCAUUAGUUCAACUUAAUGUUACUACUCCAAUUUCACAAGCUGGAUCAGAAAUGCAAAAAUAGGUCGAAGCUGCUACACAUCAGUUUUAGAUAUUCGGUGGAAAUUUUCUUAUUUUUUGUUUAAGAACAAGGAAUUAUUGAGAUUUAACUCUUAGUAUAGAACAAGUUUGGUUGGUUGGUUUGGUUGUUUUGAGACUCAUUUUGAAAUUGUUUAUAAUGAAUCUUUUGUGAUGAUUAUGUUUA
This is a long non-coding RNA of Spinacia oleracea (spinach), 2904 nucleotides long. RefSeq lists it as uncharacterized. The transcript is spliced from 5 exons. The record is from RefSeq and is a predicted model, not a curated record. Lineage: Eukaryota; Viridiplantae; Streptophyta; Magnoliopsida; Caryophyllales; Amaranthaceae.